RNAcentral lists this ribosomal RNA (207 nucleotides) under uncultured bacterium. Its description in RNAcentral is "partial 16S ribosomal RNA". It matches the Rfam family "Bacterial small subunit ribosomal RNA", at positions 568 to 774 of the family's 1533-position model. The record is from RNAcentral.
CAUGCAGGCGGUUAUACAAGUAGGACGUGAAAGCCUGGGGCUCAACCUCAGAACUGCAUUCUAAACUGUGUGACUAGAGUAUUGCAGGGGGAGACGGAAUUUCAGGUGUAGCGGUGGAAUGCGUAGAUAUCUGAAAGAACACCAAAGGCGAAGGCAGUCUCCUGGGCAAAUACUGACGCUCAUAUGCGAAAGCGUGGGUAGCAAACA